Molecule: long non-coding RNA, 2522 nt
Organism: Manihot esculenta (cassava)
Lineage: Eukaryota; Viridiplantae; Streptophyta; Magnoliopsida; Malpighiales; Euphorbiaceae
Exons: 3
Source: RefSeq, a predicted model, not a curated record
UUCCCUCAAAUGAAAACGAUGUCGUUCUGCUAAAACCCUACAAAGGUCUCUGGCUUGAUCUGGAAGCGGAUGGUUUAGGGGUUUGAGUUGCAGAAUUGCCUUUUUGAAUCUCUGGUUGAUUUCAUUACCAUCUACACAAAAAUUCUACAUUUUCAAGAACGAGCAAGCAUGGCCUCGUCUCCAAAACCCAGUCUUUUUAGCGGAGAAAACUAUGGCUUCGUACUACGCCAACCACUGCAACACCUCUUAGAUGAAACCCACAAAGGAGACCAAAAAUUUAUCAUUUCGUGAUGUUCUACCAAUUAAUGCAGUCUAUCUGGGAUGCUCUGCUUUUUUCCUUCAGGAGCUGGAAGACAACAAAAUAGGACCUUUCAGAUCAUAUUUUGAUGGCAAAAGGAGCUGUUUCUACUUAUAUCCGGAUCUUCAACAACAGUGUAGUGCUUCGAAAAGCAUAGCAUUGUUAACUUCGGUUGCUUUCCGUUUAUAAAUUGGUUGCUGAGUUGUUGUGCAAAGAUUUGGGAGCUAGAAGAGUGGAGAAAGCCGCUAAAGAGGUUAAGUCUUUGAUUGGUGUGAUUCUUGGAGAUUUAACUGUGUGUUGGAACAAGGAUAUGAGCAAAUGAAAGUUAUUCAAAUUUAAUUAUCGUUCUAAAUUAUGGCUAGUGUCUGGACGGAUGGGAACUAGCUUCAAGGCUUUUUUACCAGUCACGAGUGAUGAAAUAUGUGAAGAGAUUAGUGUUAGAGCUUCACCUGUGAUAUUCUUAGCUAGGUCUUCUUGUUCAAACUGUUCUUGGAUUUAUCAAUGGGGAAUCGGGGAUUGGAGUUGAAAAGGAGCUAAAAGUUUGGCUUGGUAACUAAGUUGCGAGCUUCUUCUUCUUCGGUUUAGUAUUGCUUAAUCUUUAAGUUUGAAUUUUGAGUUAUUUGUUAGAAACUGGUAAAAAAUGAUGUUGGACAUAGAAUUUAAAUCAAACUGAAAUGUAGAUUUGUGUACGUUUGAAUGGAAAAAGAGGAGUUCUGUUGCUCAGAUGGCAUUAGCUCUAUCUAGUUUGUUCAAGUAAUGCAGUUAAGGAACGUAGAAAUGAAUAUUUUUGGUGUUACUUUCACUGGCUUUUUUUUUAUGUGCUUGCAUCAUGAUAAACGAUAACAUUCCCUUGACAGAAUGCUCUGGAGCGAACCUUACCAGUAAUUUUACUGUUGAUACUCUUUCCUCAGUCUUCAGAAAGCAAUCAACUGACCUGGAAAUUGUGUGAAAGAUCUUGCCGUGAAAAGAUUGAUCCCUUCAUAACAUUCCAUAGAGCUUUUCAGGAAAAAUAGGGACCAAAAGAGAGCUAUUGCUCAUACUAGUUUAUUCUCCAGUUCCCAGUUACCAUCCCAAAUUAUAGUGCAAGUAUAUUGAAGGGAGCAUUACCUAGGGCUCUUAUAAGUUAGUUAUUAUAUAUUUCUCUUUGUUAUAGAUAUUUGCAUCUUGUAGUUCUUGCUUUAAAUCAAAUUUGUUCCAGUAUCGUAUUUUUCAUGCUAACCUCAUAUCAUUCUCCAGAGUGGUUACUAAACCUUGAUGAUCAAGGCAUAAAUCUAUUUGAUGAUAACAUCCCCAAGUUCCAUGUCAAAUUGGCUCUUGAUUGCAAGUCCUGACUAUGUACAACCAGCAUUUAAACCAGAAGGAUAGAAAGCAGAUGUUAAUCUUCUGUUUUGCAUUGAUAACAGAGGAGAACAGGAAAAUCAUGAUGAGGUUGAUAAAGAGAUAAAUGGGUCCAUGAGAAGCUGCUGCACAAACUAUGAGAUCGACAGAAUAUGGAGGAAGAGUGAAGAAGAGAGGAUUGAUGGAACGAGGAAAAAGUUUAAGGUUCUUGAGCAUAACAUUUCCAACAAUUUUGAUUCAGAUGGAUGGAGGUUUUCAUAUGUCAGAGUUGAUGGUUUAGGGUAGCAAGAGAGAAGUUGAGAAUCCAAUCUCUGAUGAAGAUGUUUGAAUGAAGUGGCCAUGUGUUCCCUUGAAGGGAAAAUAUGGCAUUGGCAACUGUGUUAUACUCAUUUGACUUCGGUUCAAAAUCAAUGUUCAACUGUGCGCCAGAAUUUGCUGAGAUACUUCUUGCCCUUGUAAAGGAUUUGAAAUUGUAAUUUUGACGUUCAUGAACAGAUAAUCUUGGAGUUUGCAAAAGGCACUGAUGCAUCUUUUCUUUACAAUAGUUUACAUCACUCUCUUCUAGAAAGCAAUUGCUGUUAUUUGUCGCUCAAGAAUAUCAAUGAAGGAUAACGAAGGAUACAAUUCCCUGAGGAACUUUGGCAAUCAAGUUAUUAUCUGAAAUGUCUUCCCUUUCUCUGAAUAUUCCUUGGAGCAAUUUCUCUACAAAUAAGGUGCCCUUAGGCUGUGAAAUACAAUCUGAUUCAUUUGUAUAUAUUUAGAUCCAUGGAGUUCUGUUUUUUUCAGCUAACCAAUAUGCUUGUUUCUGGUCUAUAUGACAUGAUUAAAAUGUUACAAAUGUGUUUGUACCUUUAUACGAUGAUAUGCUAUGAAAAUUAAUUUGUGC